Molecule: non-coding RNA, 708 nt
Organism: Paramuricea clavata
Lineage: Eukaryota; Metazoa; Cnidaria; Anthozoa; Malacalcyonacea; Plexauridae
Source: the annotation of a GenBank genome assembly
CAAGUGAACAUUAUUUUAAUAUUUUGUGUGACCUCCUUUUGAUUUUAAAAUAGCUUUAACUCUUCCUGGCAUAGAUUCAACAAGUGUUCUAUUAAGUACUACUGGCUUAAGGUUAUUCCAUGCAGCAUUGAUUAUGGACAUCCCAUAGGUUUUCUUUACUUGUGGGAUCAUGUCUCACUUUCCCUCGUUUCAAAUGAUCCCAUAAAUUCUCAAGAGGAUUUAGGUCCCGAGAUUGAGAAGGAAAAUCCAUAACAACCAGAUCACCUUUCUCUUGCUUCCUUCUUCAAUAAUUUUUACACAUGUGAGAAGUGUGUUUGGGAUCAUUAUCCCGCGUUGCAAGACAAUUCCCCUAUCCACACAACCUUAAGCUAGAUGGUAUGGCUUGUCUUUGAAGGAUGGAGUGAUAUUUUUGUUUCGUAAAAAUUAUUUAAUAAUUAGGGAGCAAGAGAAAGGUGAUCUGGUUGUUAUGGAUUUCUUCCUCAACCUCCAGACCUAAAAUCCUAUAAAUCCUUUUGAGAAUUUAUAAUUAUGGGAACAUUUCAAACGAGAGAAAGUGAAACAUAAUCCUACAAGUAAAGACAACCAACCUAUGGGAUGUCAUGGAUCAAUAAUGCCGGAAUAACCUUAAACCAUCACUACUAUAAGAAAACUUGUUGAAUCUAUGGCUAUGACAGGAAGAAUUGAAGCUGUUUUAAAAUCAAAAGGAGG